RNAcentral lists this ribosomal RNA (403 nucleotides) under uncultured bacterium. RNAcentral describes it as "partial 16S ribosomal RNA". It matches the Rfam family "Bacterial small subunit ribosomal RNA", at positions 30 to 526 of the family's 1533-position model. The record is from RNAcentral.
AUUGAACGCUGGCGGCAGGCCUAACACAUGCAAGUCGAGCGAGCGGCGGACGGGUGAGUAAUGUAUGGGGACUGCCCGAUAGAGGGGGGUAACUACUGGAAACGGUAGCUCAUACCGCAUACUAUCGGAUAACCCAUAUGGGGUUAGCUAGUAGGUGGGGUAAUGGCUCACCUAGGCGACGAUCCCUAGCUGGUCUGAGAGGAUGAUCAGCCACACUGGAACUGAGACACGGCCCAGACUCCUACGGAGGCAGCAGUGGGGAAUAUUGCACAAUGGGCGCAAGCCUGAUGCAGCCAUGCCGCGUGUAUGAAGAAGGCCUUCGGGUUGUAAAGUACUUUCAGUCGGGAGGCGUUACCGACAGAAGAAGCACCGGCUAACUCCGUGCCAGCCGCCGCGGUAAUUC